RNAcentral lists this non-coding RNA (204 nucleotides) under Triticum aestivum (bread wheat). RNAcentral's name for it is "Bacterial small subunit ribosomal RNA". It matches the Rfam family "Bacterial small subunit ribosomal RNA", at positions 1177 to 1387 of the family's 1533-position model. The record is from Rfam by way of RNAcentral. Lineage: Eukaryota; Viridiplantae; Streptophyta; Magnoliopsida; Poales; Poaceae.
AAAUGAUUUGCCAUGUGCUCGUACCUGACGUCAGAUACUUAUCAUUUACUAUAAAGAAAGGUCGCGAUCUCAUGAGGGUGAGCUAAUUAUUAAAACCCGUCCUUAAUUCGGGUUGAUGGCUGCAACUCGCCUAUAUGAAGCAGGAAUCGCUAGUAAUAACCAGGUCAGUCAUACGGUGGUGAAUCCGUUCCCGGGCCUUAUACA